CUUAUCCCUUCCUCUUCCUGGCAGCAGAACAGGCGUUGCCACCAAUUCACCACCCACACACCAUCGAUGCCCUGCACCGACUGCUCCGGCGUUCUUCCAUGCGGGCGAGCAGAGGCACCCCAUGGCGCCACCUCCUCCUCUCCUUCUCCUGCCGCGUGAAGACCUCGACAGAGUGACCUCCAUCGCGUCAUCGAUCUGGCCGCCGCCUUACCUGCGGCUCGAUCUGAUCUGCGAGAGAUGGCGAGGGGUGGGGGCGGCGGAGUAAGGGGAGAGGGAGAGGGAGAUCCGGUGUAGGACUACCACGCUGUUGACUUGCGGCACCCAACCCCGACCACCUCGGCGACUAUGCCUCCUGAAGGACGACCUCCGCCACCUCCCUGCUGCUAAGAAGCGACGAGCCCGCUUCUUGUGCCCCCGCGGAAAUUCCCCUUCAGAUAGUGGAGCGGCAUCGCUCCCAUAGUCUUCAGCAUCAGAUUCGUCACAGAUCCGUUCCCUUUUUCAUGAAGUUGGCUGGGGCUUUGGCCACAUGACAACUUUCAUCUGUAAUAUAGAAGAUAUAAAUCAGUGAAGUUUAUGUCAUACCACUCAUGUUUCGGCACUGUACGAACAAACUUUGAGAACUAUAUUGCCAUCCCAACAGAUGAAGACAUGGAUUACAUAUUAAAAGUGCAUCAAUGUUCUGUCGUUCAACACCAUGUGUGGGUAUAUCAUUGACAACCAAUGGUUUUUUUAUGCCUGAAAAAUACUUCAUUGCUGCAAUAUGAUGCAGGGCUCCUGAUUCCAUGGCGUGCCUUAGUCUUUUGGCGUGCAUAUUUAAAGUUGAGGGAUCUUUUAUUCCAUUUCAAUUUUCUCUGGAAAUCUUCUGCCGGCUCAAGUGCUCAUGUCAAAGAAUAUAGUUGUAUUUUCCUUGGAUUAUUCAUUUGCCUUGCAAUGUUGAAGGAGAAAAGGCAACCGAAUUAUUCGAGGGAUAGAGAUUGUUAACGAAUAGAUCAACUAACUAUUUGCCAUAGAAAUUGCUAUUUGGAGACCUAGUGCAUUUGGAAAGUAUGUAACGACCAAGUCUUUGAUAAUGUACUUCCAAACUUUGGUUGGUGCAGGAUUCCCGUUGUUAGCAGUAGCACCUACACAUAGAACUGUACUGGAGAGUGAAAAGUAAAUUUCUCUUUCACCUUUAACUCAUAACGUUAU
Triticum dicoccoides is the source of this 1188-nucleotide long non-coding RNA. RefSeq lists it as uncharacterized. The record is from RefSeq and is a predicted model, not a curated record. Lineage: Eukaryota; Viridiplantae; Streptophyta; Magnoliopsida; Poales; Poaceae. The transcript has 3 exons.